Molecule: non-coding RNA, 76 nt
Organism: Parelaphostrongylus tenuis
Lineage: Eukaryota; Metazoa; Nematoda; Chromadorea; Rhabditida; Metastrongylidae
Source: the annotation of a GenBank genome assembly
GCGUCAGCCAGUGGUGCAACGGUUCAGCACGCGCCCCCGAGAGAGUGAGAUCUGGGUACGAAUCCCGGUUGACGCA